UACGUAGGGUGCGAGCGUUAAUCGGAAUUACUGGGCGUAAAGCGUGCGCAGGCGGUUUUGUAAGCCAGAUGUGAAAUCCCCGGGCUUAACCUGGGAAUGGCAUUUGGGACUGCAAGGCUUGAGUGCGGCAGAGGAGACUGGAAUUCCUGGUGUAGCGGUGAAAUGCGCAGAGUAUCAGGAGGAACACCAAUUGCGAAGGCAGCUCGCUGGGACGUUACUGACGCCUGGAGACGCGAAAGCGUGG
RNAcentral lists this ribosomal RNA (244 nucleotides) under uncultured bacterium. Its description in RNAcentral is "partial 16S ribosomal RNA". It matches the Rfam family "Bacterial small subunit ribosomal RNA", at positions 524 to 764 of the family's 1533-position model. The record is from RNAcentral.